AGAGUUUGAUCCUGGCUCAGGAUGAACGCUAGCGGCAGGCCUAAUACAUGCAAGUUGAACGGACGGUAGCAAUACCGUUAGUGGCGCACGGGUGCGUAACGCGUAUGCAACCUACCCAUCAAAGGGGGAUAGCCCGGGGAAACCCGGAUUAGUACCGCAUAAGAUAGCAGUUUGGCAUCAAGCAGCUAUUAAACAUUUAUGGUUGAUGGAUGGGCAUGCGUAAGAUUAGCUAGUUGGUGAGGUAAAGGCUCACCAAGGCGAUGAUCUUUAGGGGUUCUGAGAGGAAGAUCCCCCACACUGGUACUGAGACAGGGACCAGACUCCUACGGGAGGCAGCAGUAGGGAAUAUUGGGCAAUGGUGGCAACGCUGACCCAGCCAUGCCGCGUGCAGGAAGAAGGCCUUCUGGGUUGUAAACUGCUUUUGGAAGGGAACAAAACGGCUCUGCGGAGCAACUUGAGUGUACCUUCAGAAUAAGCACCGGCUAACUCCGUGCCAGCAGCCGCGGUAAUACGGAGGGUGCAAGCGUUGUCCGGAUUUAUUGGGUUUAAAGGGUGCGUAGGCGGCCUAUUAAGUCAGGGGUGAAAGACUGCAGCUCAACUGUAGCAGUGCCUUUGAUACUGAUGGGCUUGAGUAUAGAUGAGGCCGGCGGAAUGGGUGGUGUAGCGGUGAAAUGCAUAGAUACCAUCCAGAACACCGAUUGCGAAGGCAGCCGGCUAAACUACAACUGACGCUGAGGCACGAAAGCGUGGGGAUCCAACAGGAUUAGAUACCCUCGUAGUCC
This 782-nucleotide ribosomal RNA is filed under the name uncultured bacterium. Its description in RNAcentral is "bacterial SSU rRNA". It matches the Rfam family "Bacterial small subunit ribosomal RNA", at positions 8 to 796 of the family's 1533-position model. The record is from RNAcentral.